This 498-nucleotide ribosomal RNA is filed under the name uncultured bacterium. RNAcentral describes it as "partial 16S ribosomal RNA". It matches the Rfam family "Bacterial small subunit ribosomal RNA", at positions 30 to 523 of the family's 1533-position model. The record is from RNAcentral.
AUUGAACGCUGGCGGCAUGCCUUACACAUGCAAGUCGAACGGUAACGCGGGGCAACCUGGCGACGAGUGGCGAACGGGUGAAUAACGCAUCGGUACGUGCCCAAUAGUGGGGGAUAGCCCGGCGAAAGCAGGAUUAAUACAGCAUAAGACCUAAGGGUGACAGCAGGGGAUCGCAAGCACUUGCGUUAAUGGAGCGGCCGGUGUCAGAUUCGGUUGUUGGUGGGGAAAAAGCCUACCAAGCCGACGAUCUGUAGCUGGUCUGAGAUGACGACCAGCCACACUGGGACUGAGACACGGCCCAGACUCCUACGGGAGGCAGCAGUGGGGAAUUUUGGACAAUGGGCGAAAGCCUGAUCCAGCCAUGCCGCGUGCGGGAUGAAGGCCUUCGGGUUGUAAACCGCUUUUGUUAGGGAAGGAAUCGUUUGAGCUAAUACCUCGGAAGGAUGACGUUACCUAAAGAAUAAGCACCGGCUAACUACGUGCCAGCCGCCGCUGUAA